RNAcentral lists this long non-coding RNA (1705 nucleotides) under Lynx pardinus (Iberian lynx). Lineage: Eukaryota; Metazoa; Chordata; Mammalia; Carnivora; Felidae. The record is from RNAcentral.
UGCUAGGCCAGAUCUAGCCACCAGGGGGCAAAAAAGCGGCCCCUCGGUCGGUGUCCCUCCACGUCCCCACCCACACACACCUGAGGGCCAAGAUGGGCGGUGCCUCACCUGGCUCUCACUCGGAGUCGGCUAGCUCCGUUAACCCCUUCCUGCCUGGCCUGGUUUACUUUGCUCGGGCAGAGCCAUUCAGAGCCGAACUGGAAGGCAAAUCUGAUGGCGCAGGGGGUGUUGCCCGAGAAAGGGGCUAGGGUGGAGGUGAAGUCAGGGUUUCCAGUGACUCAGGCCCCUGUUCCAGCCGGGGCUGGCGGAGGCUACCAUUCCCUGCCUCAGUUGGGCAGCUACCUCCGCAGAAAGGUGAAGGAGCCCCCUGGAGGCAAAAGAGGCACGGGUUGCGGUCACCCGCGCUGGGCCUCACAGAGGAUACAGAGAAUGCUGGGGCAGCCACAGAACCCAGACUUCCGGGUUCUCACGAGCCUUCUGUCGGCCGGGGACCUUUGUAACGACUGGUGGGUCGGGUAGUGGGGGGAGGGCAGCCGAAGAGUGGAGGGAGAGACACAGAGGACUGGGGUGGCGGGAGUGUAGACGGUUAAGAUUUGGCAGCAGAAUGGGCCAGAUUACGCAGCUCUCGGGUGCCGGGUUUUGUGUAUCUCUCCUCGAGUACCAGGCAACCUUCCAGGGCUCUGACCAGCCCAGAUCCCGAGACUGCGUUCCGGGCCACAAGGUGUUAAACAGUGGUGGGAGUGGGGUCCGGAGUCUCCUCCCUCCUCCCUCCCAGCGUCACCACCUCGGAGUCCACCAGGCUGGCACUCAAGGAGUUAAGUCUGCCCGCAAUCUGCAAGACUGGAGCCGGGGAGGGGGAGGAGGGGGGGGCGAGGAGAGGGGGAGUGGAGGAGAAGGGGGAAACAGACUGCAGGGAGACAGCGCCAGGAACCCCCUCCCCAGGGACCUGGCCCCUGGGCCCCCAGCCCCAAAAGAGGCCCUGCCCUCCCCGGGGUCGUGCUCUCUUCCCCCGCCCUGCCUCCGCCCUCCAGCUUUGUGUCCCCAGGAGGGUGGGCUGCAGGAUUUCCAGCCAAGCCUUGGCUGCCUGCUCAGUUUUUCCAAACCCUCCAGUCGGGGAAGGCGGGAGCCCUGUCAGGAUAAGAGUCCCUCCCCCACUGCCCCUGCCGGCCCCCUCACCCAGGCUCCUUUUUCCUGCCCCCGCACCUUUCCCAAACUUCUUUCCCUUUCCACCCUGGCCCCUGCGCCCCCUAUCCCCACCUCUUUUGGCUCCCAAGUUCCAAGUUCAGGUUCGAGGGGCCAGGUGGGUCCCACAAUCCCGGCGAGGCGCUGGUAAAGCCAAACUCUGCAGGCCGACACUGAGACCUGCUGGGCGCCCGCCCGACUCCCAGCCUGGCGCCCGCCCCAUCCCAAGACGUGGCCCCAGGUCCACCGGGGAAGGUGGCCCAGGGGUCUCCCGCCCGGGGGUGGAGGUGGUGCUGGGGGAGCCGGCAGAGCUGGGCAGCGGGCUCUGGUGCGGCUGGUGCCAGACCUUGGGGCACGCUUCGAGGAGGGGGCAAAGUGUUCCGAGCGCUGGCACGGUUCUGUCCAGCAGGUCUAUUAUAUAAUAAUCACCAUCUAUCAGGAAGCCAGGCAGCUGGAGUGAGUGGGGAAGCCAGGAUGCCCGGAUCUGCUCUUCCUCCAGGCCCAGGAAGGUGUCUCCACCAAG